UCUCUCUCUCGGUUCUUUUUCUUUAACUGGGUGUGGUUCUUUCAGGCCAAACUUGUGUGAAUGAUGCAGUACUGCAGCCCGGGCUGCGCCCACACCCUUCUUUCAACUUAAAGAGACUCUGAAGGAGGUGGAGCAAACGUGUGUCUGGAGCUCCGCUCGGGCUGGGAUAUGAACUGGGAGACGUCUGAGAGGGCAACAUGUGUUACGCCGCCUGCGUUGUGUGUUGCGUUGCGUGAGUGCGCGUCUGACUGAGUGCAUAUGUGUGCAUGCAUUGUACGCCGCGGGUGUUUGGACCGACUUAGAGGCGCCGUACUGUAAAACGUUCUGACCUGUUGAUUUAUCUUCACUAAAAAGGGCCCGUGAAAGAUCUGUCGGUGUUGAGAAAGGACCGCAGGAAUGAACCAUGGCAGGCAAGACGGUGUGGAGGAGGAGAGCGAGCGCAUGGGGCCGGGUGGGUGGAGCCCGCGCCUUGCAGGAAGGAAACACAGGAAACGUUCUAGCAGGAAAACAAUGUAAUCAUGAACCCUGGGCUCAUUUACUGUCUGGUUGGUAAUAUAGGCAGCAUGUGUGUGUGUGUGUGUGUGUGUGUGUGUGUGUGUGUGUGUGUGUGUGUGUGUGUGCGUGUGCGUGCGUGUCAGAACCAAACCAUACGUUAACGGGCUGCAGAUUUCAUAAUUAAAUCAAUGAAUUGCAUGAGAACAAAAUUCAUUCGAGAAAAGUACAUUGUUUGUAAAAGACAAGGGACUUUCUCUGGCGAACUUCAAGCGGCUGAAUGGGGGACAGCCUCUAGCAAACUUCAACCAGCUCAGCCCCCCUGCGGCUCCAGACAGAGGAGUGAUUCCCCUUGGCGGACUGGCAGUGGUGCAGUCGUUUGGGCUCAACCUCCUGUGCCUACUGAGCUGAUAACAGUUAGAUGUCAAAACAAGCACUGGCUCAGUUCAGCAGGAACCGGAGUUACGCCUUCAAUAAACAGCGAGGACAUAUCCGUCCCCACGCACGAUUAUGCGCUUGUAGUAAAUGUUGCAGUAAACUUUUUUAGUAAAUGUUUCUCUCUGUAUGUGUUAGACUAAACUGUGUUGUUUUAGGUGCCAUGGUUUUUGUUAUUUUAUUUAAAACAUAAAUGUUCAUACUUCCUCUAUGAAUCAUAGGGAGAUUGCAAUCAGCGAGUACAGAGAGCUUUGAUGUUGACCCACACCCACACACAUACACACUGACGCUGAGACCGACACACACACACAGACUCGUGAUGGAGGAAAUUUGCUCCUGUUGGUUGUGUGUUUACUCAAAGAUCACAGGAGCAGAGAUUUUUCCAGAUGCACUUCCCCGAUAGCACAUCAGAUCGCCCUCUGUGGGAGCACAUAAUAAAGCAAGGAAGAAGUGACCCUUCUGACUUUGAGAGCAUUAGGGCUUUUUAAUGCCAGUUUAAUAUUUGUAAAGACGGCCUGAGUCUGUUUUUUUCAGUUAUGUAAGUAACUGCUCCUUUAAAUGUGCAACUCUGACUCUGCUUUUAAGAAAAUACCAUAACUAACACCUAACUAACGUUACACAUCGUUUUUUUAAUAAUGUCCAUACAGUCAACAGUUUGUCUCUUUAUAAUAAAGAUAUUGAUGAAGUGUAACGUUGAUUCAGUAAUCAUUUUGUAUUAAGCGAACAAAUGGGGACUGGGAACGAAUUUCCCCAUCGCGUCAUGUUAUUUACCAUACAUGAAUGCCAAGUCAUAUGCCCCACAACUGUAAAGCGAAAAUAUAGUUUCUAUGUGAAACCAAACACAUUGCAUAUUUCGUUGUAUAUCUUACCUUGGACAAAUAAAGACAAUGUUCUACUCCGUA
Molecule: long non-coding RNA, 1829 nt
Organism: Gadus macrocephalus (Pacific cod)
Lineage: Eukaryota; Metazoa; Chordata; Actinopteri; Gadiformes; Gadidae
Exons: 2
Source: RefSeq, a predicted model, not a curated record